Molecule: long non-coding RNA, 9111 nt
Filed under: Populus tremula
Lineage: Eukaryota; Viridiplantae; Streptophyta; Magnoliopsida; Malpighiales; Salicaceae
Description: long non-coding RNA (PTRE_LNC002213)
Source: RNAcentral
AACAGCCUUGUACUUCCCAUUGCUAAGGAUCUGCAUUCCAAUUGCCGAGUGUACAUGUAGUUGACAAAUUUUAGUAAACAUCAACACUAAGUCAAGAGAAAUUAUACAGAUAGCAUUUAAAUGAUAGUCCCCGUAAUAAUUACCAGACCCGACUAGGAAUUGACCUGGCACCAAUAAACUAUUAAUUAAAAAAAUUUCAAAAAAAUAUAUUUAAAAUUUUAAUAUUUUAUAUGAAAAAAUUAAGAAAUAAUUCUUAUAAAUAUAUGCUAGAUAUGUUAUAAAUAAUGAAGAUUAAGAGAUUGUUUUAAAAUAUUUUUUUAUCCCACAUUGAAAAGAUAUUAUGUUAUCCUUUUAAGUUGAAAUAUUUAAACCAAAUUUUUUUUUAUUUCACAUUGAAAAAUAUAACUUUUUUUCUUGUGAACAUAGAAUAUAUAUACUAAAACGCUUCAAAUUCUACAUUGAAAAAAUAAAAUAUUUUUCUAAUAUUUAUAUAGUGAACUUUGAAAAGGGUUAACAACCAACUAAAAAAUAUAAAAAAAGAUGAGUAUUUGGUUAGGAGAAAAAACACAUUUUAAAAAAAAAAAGUUUUGUUAGGUCGCCCAAAUCACAGAUCAACCCGAUAGUUCAACCAGGUUUUUUCAAAUGAUGCCAACUUUUUUGUAGUUAAUUUCAUGAGUAGACCGAUAGUAAACUUUUUUGCAGUGACACUACUUUAUACCUAAAAAAGAACUAAGUAUUAGGAGCAAAUGAUGUAUCAUAAAACAUAGCCAUGUUAAUUAGGUAUGUGCCCACACCCGUCUUUUGCUUUAAUAGCAACAAGUUAUUGCUUACAACCAGUUGGCAUUUAGUGGAGGAGGAGUUAAUGAAGCCUUUAUGAGGAGUCCAUCCUUCAUUUAUUUGAUUUGUCGUUAGAAAAGGAAAAGAAAGAAAAACAAAAAAGAUAGGUAGCAGUCCCAUGAGAACAAUCAAGAAUAGAGGAUGCAAUAAAAGAAGUAAAAGAGAAAUUGAGUGAAAAAUCAAAUAAAGGGCUAAGAAAAUGACCUCAAUUUGAUCACCAAUGUGAAUGAUCAAGGCAUCAGGAAUAUACUUAGCUUCAAUCCACUGGUCAUCCUUGAAGAUUUGCAAUCCGGGGACCUCAUUAGGCACAAGAAUGGUGAUGGCAGAUAGAUCAGUAUGAGCCACUACCCCAAGUGUUAGGUCUGGACGUGGGCAUGGUGGAUAGUAAUUUAUUUUGAGCAUGUAUUCAAUUUGUUCACCUCCGGCAGCUUCUUUCAACACAUGCCCUUCAAGCCCUAACCCUAAAGAGAGGGUUGUGAAUAGCUUGUCCACCACAUCUCUCAUACACUUAGCAUACUCCUUGGUAACUUCUCUGCUCAUAGAAAAAUAUUAUCAUUUAGUCAAAGGGACGAAUCAAGGGUUGGAAAAGUUGGAGGGUCAAAAUGUGUAGUUUUAGUGUCAGCGGUGGCACAUUUCGUGUAAAUGUUCUAAGAUUUUGUAUGAUAUUUUGAAAAAGUUUGAGACAUGCAACCACCUAAACUCUCCUUUCUGAUGGUUAAGAAAUUGAUAAUAAUAAUAAAACUAUAUAUUUUUAGGAGCAUAUUUCUUAAACUGGGUAGUUAAUCUAAAAAAUUCUCAAUUCUAAGCUCUUAAUUUUAGUUUAAAUUUUUAGUUAAGUCGAAUCAGAUAUUAACAGGCUAAAUUUAGUUAUUGAACUCUAACUAAGAUUUUAAUGAUCUAAUUUAUCUGAUCAAAAACUUAAUAUAAAUAUAAUCAAAUCAAUACAAAGUUUUUUUAAAAAAAUAAAAAAACAAUUUUUUAUUAAAAAAAUUAACUCAUGAUUCAAAUCUAGCCUCAUAAUUAUCAGUACUUAUGAACUAAAUCAGUGGUUCAUAUUACGCUGUAGGUCAAAAUAAAAAACAAUUAAUGUGCUAAUUUUUUUCUAGUAAAAUGUUUUUAUUAAAAAGAAAUUAUAUAGAAAUUGAUUCGAUACGACUUAGUCAACCUAAAUAUCUAGUUAAAAUUUAGUUUAUCUUAAAAUAAAUAUUGAAUAUGAGAUUUUAUAUUAAUGUUAAUUAACUAGGAAGCAUGGUCAUGUCUAGAAUUACAGUUCGGUCCUCACUACCCAAGUAUUCCUAAAUCCUUUAUGGUGUCAAGUUUAGGGUUUUGAGACUCGAUUUAAUAAUCUACAAAACGGUUUCUGUAUCUUGUUGCAAACAGUUUCAAGCAGCUGAGGAUUACUUGUGUUAUCAAAAGAAACGGUAUCCCCCAAAGUGGAAAGUGAGGCAUCUAGGACUGUGGAAACCAUGGGUAGCCCCAAAUGACCCCUCAAAGUCGAAACAAAAUAUGUUAAUUUCUAACUAAUUAGGUUCCUACAAAAGUUUUUGGUUGUUUAAUUUCAUGUGCGCUGACUACUGAUAUUAUCUGUCCCCCUUCGCAAGAACUUGGAUUUAGUCCUUACGUGGGAGUACUUGUGUCUUAUGCAGCACAUUUUUUUUUUAUUUUUUUACCCAAUUUAAAUGGUAGAAAACAGACCUGUAAGAAGGAGGGUUUUCGGGCCAGAACUGGUAAUUGAUGGAAGGAGGAGGCCAUAUCCUAUGAAAGAGAUGAUCAACCCAAGAUUUUUUUUCUUGGGGAUCUUUCUGCAAUUUGGAACCAUAGCCUUCGAUGCUUUUUGAAUCACGAGGCCUAGCACACACCUCUUUCUCUUCCUGAGGGAGUUCGAAGAAUUUCUUACCAACACCCUGCAGUUCGGCAAUAAGAUCACUUGGAAUUCCAUGGUUUAUAACCUGGAAUAUCCCCCAUUCCUUGCUAGCAUCCGCAAUCAAAGCCACUAAUUUCUCUUGAUCAGGGUCACUGAGAUCAAUGGCUGGAAUCUCAGGGGCUACACCACGAAAUGUGGUUAUUGCUGGCUGCUCUUUCUCUGGCCUGAUGAAUUCUUGAGGAAUCGCUUCCUUGUCAAAUGACAAAGAAGCGAUGGUUUGAACUCUAUCAAACUCCAUCCUGAAGGUUGUCUUCUUGUUUCUUAAUUUCUCUUCAAAGCAAAAUAAACUGCCCUCAAUAUAUAGAGAGAGACUUGAGUUACGAGCAUGCAUGUAAUUAAAGUGUCUGUAAUUUAUUAUAGGUAGGGCAGUAUGAUCACAUGAUUCACCGAUUAGGUUGGAUUAUUAUUAUGAUUAACUCAAGAAAACACAUGUGGGAUGCUGGUUGGUUGAGAAAUCCAAAUCAAAUUUAACACAUUUAUCUUUAGCAAAGAUUAAGAGUUGUGAAAUUGGAGGAAAGAACUAAAUCAGCCGCUAAUCAGAACCACCACCGCACACAAAUGAUCAAUGAAUAAAUCUUACCAUUUUUUAUUUUAUUUUGAGCGGCAUCGAUUGUUUCGUUUUUAGGUUGGUAGAUCCAACGUCAAUUUAGCCAGGAGGUUUUUGAGAUGACAGAAUCCGAGAAAGUGUACAAAUCUCUAGAUUUUUUAGUUUUGAAUUAUCAUCUAUUCAUCAUCAAAUUCUAGUACAAGCAAAUUUCUAGCCUCACAUUCCUAGAAACAAAAACUCUAAGCUAACGUGGACGUUCCACAUCUUCUUCUUUUUAUUCUGAGAAUGUCUGAAUUGUAAAUUAAUGCACCGUUGGCAACCUUGUUUCAGACCAUGGAAGAUAAUCAUUGAGACAGAGUUCACGUGGCUAUGUAUGAACUUUUCGUUUUCAAACUUCUUUACAAGUUUUUAUUUUAUUUUAUAAAUACUAAAUUAAUAUAUAUAUAUAUAUAUAUAUAUUAUUUUUUAGAUGAUGAUAUAAAAAAUAAAAAAUAUAUUAUUUUAAAAUAUUUUCAAUUAAAAAUCACUUUUAAAAAUAUCUUACACAAUAUUACUAAACAAAUACUAAAACUUAUCAUAUUUCCACACAUAUAUAUACAUGCGAACCACAUACCCUACUUCUUCUAAUCACGUAAGGAGGGCUCUACCCCUAUCUAAAACAAGACAAUAAUCAAAUGGAAAUAGAUUGUGUUAGAUUUGAUAGAUCUAAGCAUGUUUUUAGAAUAAUUUGUAUUUAGAUUUAAUGUGGAAAAAAUAAAUAGAUCUUGAUAUACCUCCCGUUAUUGAUGAAAAAUACUCAGGUUUUUUUUAAAGGUUUUGGUAUUUCUAAUCUCUAGCACGCACAAAUCUAAUGGUGUAUUUUUAAGGCAAAAGUUUGUAUAUUAGUGUGUAAGCCUAGGAAUCAAAAGCAUGUAUUUAUAUAGCAGAAGUCUUAUUAACUUUUAAUUGAUAUAACUUUAUUGCAAUUGAAGAUGAGAGUUAAUUUAUUAUUGGACUAAAAGUUAAAAUUCUUGAAAAAAUUGAAUCUCACAUGGAUAUAAUACAACAUAACUUUAACAUUCUUCCACUUAAUUAAUAUAUUUAACUCAAUCUCUUAACUUAAGCAUAUCCUUUAUCUUUCUUGGAAAACAAAUGCAUGAAUCAUGAUGAUAAGUCCUCUAAUCAUGAGUAUUGCACUCCAUGUAUUACAAUGCAUAUAAUUUCUCAAAUAUUAUUCUAUAUGUGUUAAUCUCACUUAAUGAAUAAACCUUAUAUUUAUUCUUGGUCCUAUAUAAAUGAGUUUUCUCAAAUAAAUUUCAAAUAAAUUAAGGUACACAUAAAUAUUAGAAAAUAUCACAACAAAUAGAACUUCUUUUCUUUAACACAUUCUCUUAUUACUAAAUAUUUGAUGUUGAUAUGUUUACUUCACCUGCCACUUUUGUUGUUUUUAGCCAUAAAAACAUCUAAAUUGUCACAAUAUAUUCUUAAUAGCUUUGAAAUAGAAUCUAUAAUUUUAAUCCUAGAUAUUAAACUUUUAAAAAAUACACCAUGUGCAAUAGCCUAAAAAUAAGAAAUGAACUCAGCUUUCAUAGUGGAAAUAGUAGUCAAAUUCUACUUAACACUUCUACAAGAUACAACUCCAUUGGCCAAUAUAAAAAUAUAUCCUGAUGUUGCUUUGCAUGAAUCAACAUAAAAAACAAAGUUUGAAUCUGAUUAGCCACUUACUUUCAGAUUGUCUGUAUAUCUAUACAUAAGUAUAUAGUAUUUGGUCCUUUGAAGUUACCUUAUUACUUUCUGUACAACUCUCUAGUGGUCUAUACUUGGAUUGCUUUAAAAUUAUCAUAACAUUCCCACAACAAAUAUAAUGUCAUGCCUUGUAUGGAUCUAAGUAGUAUACAUUAAGCUUCCUAUAACAAAAACAUAUGGAAUGUUCUUCAUUUGUUCCCUUUCAAGAUUAUUUUCGUGCAUUGAUUCAAAUUAAACUUAUCUCCCUUAACAAUCGAAGCAACACUUUGUAAACAAUCUUUCAUCUAAAAUCUCUUUACAACUUUAUUGAUAUAGAUUUUUUGAAACAAAUCUCAUAUGCGUUUAAAUCUUCUUUGUAUAUCUUAAUGUAAACGACAUAAAAUACCUCACCUAUAUCCUUCAUGUCAAAGCUCUUAUAAAGAAAUUGUUUCGCCUCAUGUAACAACUUUUAUCAUUGGUCAUAAGUAGAACAUCAUCCAUUUAUAAAACAAUGAAAAAAAGUCUUACUCCCACUGAUUUUUCUGGUAUAUGCAUUGAUCUAUGAUGUUCUCUUCAAGUCCAAAAAAUAAAUUACAUAAUGGAAUUUAAAGUACCAUUGUUGGGAUGCUUGUUUUAAACCAUAUGGAUUUCUUGAGCUUGCAAACCAGAUGUUCAUCAUCACUAAAGGAGAAUCAUUCAGGUUGUUUCAUGUAAACCUCCUCCUCUAGAUCUCCAUUGAGAAAUAUAAUUUGCACAUUCAUUCGUUGCAUUUUUAAGUCAAAAUAUGCUUUUAAUACCAAAAUAAUACAUAGAGAUUCUUUCUUAGAUAUAAGAGAGAAAGUCUCAUUGUAAUUAGUUCUUUCAUUUUGAAUGAAUCCUUUAGCAAGGAAUUUUGCUUUAUAUUGUUCAAUGUUGCCUAAUGAGUCUAUCUUUGUCUUAAAGACUCAUUUACAAUCAAUGAAUCUUGUAUUAUUAGGCAGCUCAACAAGAUCUUAGACUUUGUUACUCUUUAUAGAAUUCAUAUCUUCCUUUAUGGCAUUAUAUAAGAAUUAUGAUUCUUUGCAACUUAUGGCCAGUAAAACAAAUUCAUGAUUAUUUUUUGCUCCAAUGUUAUAGUCAGAUUCUUAUAUAUACAUAACAUAAUCAUUAUGAAUUGUUGAUCUCUUUAUUCUAAUGGAUCUUCUUAAAAAGUAUUUGGUUUAAUUGGUUAUUCAGAAAUUCUUGAUAAUGCUUGAACUACCUGAUCUACUGAAAUGUUGUUAUCAGUUUGUGGAACUUCAACAAUUAGUCUUUAGACCCCAUUUUGUAUUCUUGAACGAUGCUCUUAACAAUAACCAAUAUAUAACUUGAUGUGGAAGGUUGUAAUUCUAAAUGAUAUUUCUCAAAAACUAUGUUCCUGAAUUGAUUGCUCACACUUAUCAAGUCAUUUUCAGAAAACUUUGCAUUUCUUAAUUCCACAAUCCUAGUACUAUAAGAUGGACAGUAAAAUCUAUACUUUUAUACCUUUCAACAUAUGUAACGAAACACACACUAAUGGUCCUUGGGUCUGACUUCUUUUCUUGUGGAUUGUAAAUUCCUACUUUAGAUGGGCAUCCCUAAACACACAAAUGUCGCAAACUUGAUUUCCCACUACAAGAUUUCAUAGUUUUACCGACGGAUAUAUUCCAUCGGUGUGUGAUAGAACUUUCAUCGGUAAAGUAUUUACCGACUAUAUUACCGACGGAAUACUCCCGUCGGAAUACCUUUUGUCGGUGAUUCCACAUUCCGUCGCUAUAUCGGUCGGAAAUACAAAAAAAACUUUUACCGACGGUUUUACCGACGGACAGUGCGCGCCAAAAAAAAAGUUUCCCGCUUGGAAUAUACUGACGGAAUAUUUUCCGUCGGUGUUAUAAAAAUACCGACGGACUAACUCCGUCAGCAAAAGUGUCGGUGAUAUUUUAUACCGACCGAAUAUUUCCGUCGGUAAAUUUAUACCGACGGAUUUGUUCCGUCGGUGAUGGUGGUAGACACUGUCCAAUGCCGACGGAGUUUUUCCAUCGGUAAAUCCCUGUGUAAUUGUUUUUUUUUAAUUGUUUUGAAAAAAUAAUAUAAAUUAAUGGUAAUACAAACCAAUUAUGCAAAUAAAAUUUAUAUUAAGCAACAAAAACUCAAUUAGACACAUCUUUCUAGCCAAAUUAAGUUAUUUGAAAAGCACAUGUUCACCUUUAAUUCAAUUUAAGUUUUUUUAAAAAAAUAUUAAUAAUCUUAUUUUUUAUGUUAGAUUUGUUUUUAUAUAUCAGUUUUUUUUUAAUAUGUUAAUUUUAAUUUCAUAAGUUAGUUUAAUUUACAUAUAAAAAAUUAUAUUUUAUUAAAUUACUUUUGACUCUCCCUAUCAAAUAAUCUGAGUUCCGCCCUGGGUAGAUCCAACGUCAAUUUAGCCAGGAGAUUGUUGAGAUGACAGAAUCCGAUGCAGAAGAAGUAGUUCAAAUCUCCAGAUUAAGUACAAGCAAAUUUCUAGCCUCACAUUCCUAGAAAGUAGAAACAAAAACUCUAAGCUUGUAACUUAAUGCACUGUCGGCAACCUCAUUUCAGACCAUGAAAGAGAAAACAAGAAGAAAAGAUUCCCAACAGGGUUUUGGCCAUAAAAUUAAAUAUAGCAGGUCCAUAAUAUUAUCAUCACAGACAGGACACCAUUAUUCUGAGUGCUAAAUCCAGUGGCAUCUCUAAAGCAAGACCUCAUAAAGAAAUACCAAGUUACAUGCAUAUGAAAUUCAUGGAAGGCUUAUGGGCAGUGACAUCUCCCAAAUCCUCACUACUGGGGAAGCUUAUUGAGUUUACAGUACAUGUAAUCCUUGAAUUUUUUGGUCUUGAACUUUGUAGGAUUGUCUUUGUUAAUGAAUUGAGGAAGAGGACCCACCACAAGCUCGCCGGGUGGCUCCAAGAAAACUGGCCAUGACAUUCUUGCCCUAUCUUUAGCCACCGUGGUUCGAUGCAAAGCAGCCUUGUACUUACCAUUGCUAAGGAUCUGCAUUCCAAUUGCCAAGUGUACAUGUAGUUGACAAAUUUUAAUAACCAUUAACACAAUAAGUCAAGAGAAAUUAUACAGAUAGCCUUUUAAAUGAUAGUGCCCAUGCAUCAUUAUUUUUUCUAAAUGUUUUGUGAAGAGUUAAUUCAUCACAAAAUUGAAACCAGUAAUAAUGAUCAUGUUGUUUCUAAAAUAAAUAUUUUGUAGUUGCAAAAAAAUAUAUUAAAAUGUUCUAAAAUUUUUGUAGUUAAUUUCAUGAGGAGACCGAUAGUCCUCGAACCCGCAUGUUAGUUUUUUUUUUUUUUUUGUAAAAUUAAUAUUAAUUCUAAAUUUCUAUAUGAUGAAAAGUAAAUUAUUCAUUCUAAAAUUAAAAAAUUCACAAGAAACAUUACUUUAUACCUAAAAAUAUCUAAGUAUUCGGAGAAAAUGAUGUAUCACAAAAUAUAGCCAUGUUGGGUAUGCUACGAGCUGUGUGCCCACACCCUUCUUUUGCCAUGAAUGAAGGAUGGACUCCUCAUAAAGGCUUCAUUAACUCAUCCUCCACUAAAUGACCUUGAAAAAAAAAAAAGAAUUCAAAUCUCUUCUUUAUGAUUAACUAAAGAAAAAGGAAAAGAAAAACUUAACAUUGUCUCAUAUAUUUCCAAGAUUGAAAUUUAUUUGAUUUGUUGUUAGAAAUGGAAAAGAAAGAAAAACAAAAAAGAUAGCUAGGAGUCCAAUGAGAACAAACAAGAAUAGAGAAUGCAAUAAAAUAACUAAAAGAAAAAUUGAGUGAAAAAUCAAAUAAAGGGCUAGGAAAAUUACCUCAAUUUGAUCACCAAUGUGAAUGAUCAAGGCAUCAGGAAUGUACUUAGCUUCAAUCCAAUGGUCAUCCUUGAAGAUUUGCAAUCCAGGGACCUCAUUAGGCACAAGUAUGGUGAUGGCAGAUAGAUCAGUAUGAGCCUCUACCCCAAGUGUUAGGUCUGGACGUGGGCAUGGCGGAUAGUAAUUUAUUUUGAGCAUGUAUUCAAUUUGUUCACCUCCAGCAGCUUCUUUCAACACAUGCCCUUCGAGCCCUAACCCUAAAGAGAGGGUUGUGAAUAGCUUAUCUACCACUUU